UACUGGAGUGUGUUGCCAUGCCCCUCUCCAGGAGAUCUUCCCGAUCCAGGGAUCAUACCCACAUCUCUUAUGUCUCCUGUGUUGGCAGGCAGGUUCUUUACCACUAGCACCACCUGAGAAGUCUGUACUUUCCCUGGCUUUUCCCAAGCAUUUGCUCUGAUGAAGAAGAAGCCACCCUAGCAAGAAACCAAGGGCAGCCUCCAACCAACAGCCAACUAAGGACUUUGGUCCAGUAGCCCAGAAAGAACUUAGUCCUGCCUAACAACCACAAAGUGAACUGGGAAGCACUUCUUGCCCCAGCUGAAUCUUGAGAUGUCCCCAUCUCUGGCUGCCAUCCGAUUGCAGCCUUCUGAGAGACCCUGUAGGAAAAGGCCCAGCAAAGCCGUGGCCCAAAGCCUGACCUGCAGACCAUGGGAGGUAGGAAAGCAAGAUAUCAGUUGGAAGUAAGAACUGGGAAAAGAGGUUUGAAGAAAGUGGAGAAAUUGUGAAAACAGAUAUCUUAGAGUGGAGCUGGGGAAUUCGAUGAAGUAGUUCUAGGCAUCAGUUUCAGACACAAAAACGUGAGGAGGAAUAAGACUAUCUUCUUUGUCCCUUCUUAAGAGCCUGGAAGCAUUUCCUUGAAGCUCCCAGCCAAUUGCCUAUGAGUAAGAAUUAACAUCCGGCCUGGAGCUCCACAGAGAUUUAGACCUACCUGGGAUCUUCCUUCUCACAACACUGUUUCCUUGGCCACUGUCAUGUUAAGCUAGAGAGGAAUGCUUUGUGCUGGAAGCUAUCUGCCUGUUUUCUGUGAAAUCCCUGGUCUGUGGAAUGCACCUGUGGAGGGAGAGCUCUAAGCUGCCAUCCAGAGAGAAACUGGUGAGAAGCCAAUCAAAUGAAUCCAUGCACCUGGAACUUCCCGUACGUGACCCGGGUAGGUUCUAGGGGCCAAGAGGCUGUGUGUGUUGGUGGUCCCUGAACUUGUGGAUGGCAUGAAGGUACUGUGCACUCAAUACUCCUCUCUUCAUCUCUCUGUAAAGUUUUAAAAAAUGAAGUAUUAGAAUAAAGUCUACUCUGUGAGUUUGAUUGACAAUCAAAACCCAAGCUACUGCUGAUACGGGAAAGCAUGGCAUUUGAACAGGAUUGGCAUUUGAAUCCUUAGCUCGAUUUGUGUCUUCCUGUGUCAUGGCCAGAAUUGGCUCACAGACCCAUUUACUGGCAAACCGAUUAACAGCAAAGGAAAUGAGACCACAGUGAUUGCAUGGACUAAUUGCAACUCACCCUGGGGUGUAUGGCUAAGUGGGGAACGCUCCUGAAAGCCCACAGCUUUGUAUGUGUGGGACAUACUGAACAAAACAAAGGUUAUGUUAGGAAGAAGGGAGGACAGGUACCAAGGGCUGUCGGUGAAAGGAGACUGGGUGGGCAAUCCGUUACCUCUGCUGUGUGUAUUUAGGACAUAAGCACUAUCAGGGUAAAACUGAAUUUUCUCUCAGGUCUCUGUAGCUGUUUGCUGAGAUGGGGAUUAGUGUCAAAAAUCCUUUUCAAUCCUGAAAAGCUGACUAUUUCAUGUUAGGCAUGAAUUAUAUCACUGACCAGAUAUGUAACUCAAGCACCAAACCCACUCUUCCCAUUGUUUCAUAUAAUGGUCAGACUUACAUGAAAUUCACAUCUUAUGGCUUUAAAAAUAUUUUGAAUGCUAAGCCCUAUCAAAUGAUCUCUAUUUAACAUAUUUUUUUGUGACUGUCAUGCAUAAAGUGCUGUAAAGUUACCAAUGUCUGAAGAUUAGUUGAAAAGUUCAUUACAGUACUUCAGUUAUCUUCCUAAAUUUACUUUUUACUCAUUGGUUUUGUUGGGGCCCAGGGUAGGUCACCAGCAUGGGCCUCAAUGGCAUAUUGCUUAUUUUGAAAGUUACCUAAGAAAUGGUCAACAUAAGGAGGGUACCAUGAGAGACGUUCUCUGUCUCCCUGAAACAGGAAUUAAAUCUCUCCUGUGAAAGGUGCCCCCUGACCCCCACCCCACAUCUGGAAGUAGAAGGACACCCCCUAGUAGUCAGAGACAGGAAAUGAGGGCUGAGAGGCCUGUGUUACAAAUAUGUUACUUCUUCAGUUUACUACCUUAAGCCCAAAUUCUGUUUAGGUCCUUUGCUAAUUGAGCAUCCCAAACCUCAAUUUCUUUGUCCUGUCAAUUCCUCACAAAUUUAUAGUUUUUGUCUAAAAAGUAUAAAAGUGCCAACUUUGGCUACUUCCUUUGGUACCGUGUCUAUGAGACCUCUUUCUGUACAAAUUAAAAAAAAAUUUUUCUCCUCUUAA
Long non-coding RNA from Cervus elaphus (red deer), 2285 nucleotides. RefSeq lists it as uncharacterized. The record is from RefSeq and is a predicted model, not a curated record. NCBI's taxonomy places the organism in Eukaryota, Metazoa, Chordata, Mammalia, Artiodactyla, Cervidae. The transcript is spliced from 2 exons.